UACGUAGGGGGCUAGCGUUGUCCGGAUUUAUUGGGCGUAAAGAGCGUGUAGGCGGCCAGGUAGGUCUGGUGUGAAAACUCGAGGCUUAACCUCGAGAUGUCAUCGGAAACCAUUUGGCUAGAGUCCGGAAGAGGAGAGUGGAAUUCCUGGUGUAGCGGUGAAAUGCGCAGAUAUCAGGAAGAACACCAAUGGCGAAAGCAGCUCUCUGGGACGGUACUGACGCUGAGGAGCGAAAGCAUGGGGAGCGAACAGG
This 253-nucleotide ribosomal RNA is filed under the name uncultured bacterium. Its description in RNAcentral is "partial 16S ribosomal RNA". It matches the Rfam family "Bacterial small subunit ribosomal RNA", at positions 524 to 776 of the family's 1533-position model. The record is from RNAcentral.